GCAGUCGAGCGAGUCUGCCUUGAAGAUCGGAGUGCUUGCACUCUGUGAAACAAGAUACAGGCUAGCGGCGGACGGGUGAGUAACACGUGGGUAACCUGCCCAAGAGAUCGGGAUAACACCUGGAAACAGAUGCUAAUACCGGAUAACAACAGAUGAUGCCUAUCAACUGUUUAAAAGAUGGUUCUGCUAUCACUCUUGGAUGGACCUGCGGUGCAUUAGCUAGUUGGUAGGGUAACGGCCUACCAAGGCGAUGAUGCAUAGCCGAGUUGAGAGACUGAUCGGCCACAUUGGGACUGAGACACGGCCCAAACUCCUACGGGAGGCAGCAGUAGGGAAUCUUCCACAAUGGACGCAAGUCUGAUGGAGCAACGCCGCGUGAGUGAAGAAGGGUUUCGGCUCGUAAAGCUCUGUUGUUGGUGAAGAAGGACAGGGGUAGUAACUGACCUUUGUUUGACGGUAAUCAAUUAGAAAGUCACGGCUAACUACGUGCCAGCAGCCGCGGUAAUACGUAGGUGGCAAGCGUUGUCCGGAUUUAUUGGGCGUAAAGCGAGUGCAGGCGGCUCGAUAAGUCUGAUGUGAAAGCCUUCGGCUCAACCGGAGAAUUGCAUCAGAAACUGUCGAGCUUGAGUACAGAAGAGGAGAGUGGAACUCCAUGUGUAGCGGUGAAAUGCGUAGAUAUAUGGAAGAACACCGGUGGCGAAGGCGGCUCUCUGGUCUGUUACUGACGCUGAGGCUCGAAAGCAUGGGUAGCGAACAGGAUUAGAUACCCUGGUAGUCCAUGCCGUAAACGAUGAGUGCUAAGUGUUGGGAGGUUUCCGCCUCUCAGUGCUGCAGCUAACGCAU
Molecule: ribosomal RNA, 843 nt
Filed under: uncultured bacterium
Lineage: Bacteria
Description: bacterial SSU rRNA
Rfam family: Bacterial small subunit ribosomal RNA
Source: RNAcentral